GACGAACGCUGGCGGCGUGCUUAACACAUGCAAGUCGAACGGAAAGGCCCUGCUUUUGUGGGGUGCUCGAGUGGCGAACGUGUGAGUAACACGUGAGUCACCUGCCCUUGACUUUGGGUUAACUUCAGGAAACUGGUGCUAAUACCGGAUAGGAGCUCCUGCUGCAUGGUGGGGGUUGGAAAGUUUCGGCGGAUGGGGAUGGACUCGCGGCUUAUCAGCUUGUUGGUGGGGUAGUGGCUUACCAAGGCUUUGACGGGUAGCCGGCCUGAGAGGGUGAACGGCCACAUUGGGACUGAGAUACGGCCCAGACUCCUACGGGAGGCAGCAGUGGGGAAUAUUGCACAAUGGGCGGAAGCCUGAUGCAGCAACGCCGCGUGCGGGAUGACGGCCUUCGGGUUGUAAACCGCUUUCGCCUGUGACGAAGCGUGAGUGACGGUAAUGGGUAAAGAAGCACCGGCUAACUACGUG
RNAcentral lists this ribosomal RNA (468 nucleotides) under uncultured bacterium. RNAcentral describes it as "partial 16S ribosomal RNA". It matches the Rfam family "Bacterial small subunit ribosomal RNA", at positions 28 to 507 of the family's 1533-position model. The record is from RNAcentral.